UACAGAGGGUGCGAGCGUUAAUCGGAAUUACUGGGCGUAAAGCGUGCGCAGGCGGUUUUGUAAGCCAGAUGUGAAAUCCCCGGGCUCAACCUGGGAAUGGCAUUUGGGACUGCAAGGCUGGAGUUUGGCAGAGGAGACUGGAAUUCCUGGUGUAGCAGUGAAAUGCGUAGAUAUCAGGAGGAAUACCGAUGGCGAAGGCAGGUCUCUGGGCUAUAACUGACGCUCAUGCACGAAAGCGUGGGGAGCAAACAGG
RNAcentral lists this ribosomal RNA (253 nucleotides) under uncultured bacterium. Its description in RNAcentral is "partial 16S ribosomal RNA". It matches the Rfam family "Bacterial small subunit ribosomal RNA", at positions 524 to 776 of the family's 1533-position model. The record is from RNAcentral.